CUCCUGGAAACGGGUGGUAAUGCCGGAUGUGCCGGGCUCCUGCAUGGGGGUCCGGGAAAGCUCUGGCGGCGUGGGAUGGGGUCGCGUCCUAUCAGCUUGUUGGCGGGGUGAGGGCCCACCAAGGCUUCGACGGGUAGCCGGCCUGAGAGGGCGACCGGCCACAUUGGGACUGAGAUACGGCCCAGACUCCUACGGGAGGCAGCAGUGGGGAAUAUUGCACAAUGGGCGCAAGCCUGAUGCAGCGACGCCGCGUGCGGGAUGGAGGCCUUCGGGUUGUAAACCGCUUUUGUUUGGGAGCAAGCCCUUCGGGGUGAGUGUACCUUUCGAAUAAGCACCGGCUAACUACGUGCCAGCAGCCGCGGUAAUACGUAGGGUGCGAGCGUUAUCCGGAUUUAUUGGGCGUAAAGGGCUCGUAGGCGGUUCGUCGCGUCCGGUGUGAAAGUCCAUCGCCUAACGGUGGAUCCGCGUCGGGUACGGGCGGGCUGGAGUGCGGUAGGGGAGACUGGAAUUCCCGGUGUAACGGUGGAAUGUGUAGAUAUCGGGAAGAACACC
RNAcentral lists this ribosomal RNA (552 nucleotides) under uncultured bacterium. Its description in RNAcentral is "bacterial SSU rRNA". It matches the Rfam family "Bacterial small subunit ribosomal RNA", at positions 147 to 710 of the family's 1533-position model. The record is from RNAcentral.